CCCGCUGAACUUAAGCAUAUCAGUAAGCGGAGGAAAAGAAACUAACUAGGAUUCCCUUAGUAAUGGCGAAUGAACAGGGAUGAGCCCACUGCCCAAUUGUUUGUCUUCGGCAAACAACAUGUGGCUUUGGUAGUGUACCAGUGAUGGCUUCGGCAUAAGUCUCUUGGAAAAGAGUAUCAGAGAGGGUGACAAUCCCGUUCCUGGCUGAAUGUCUAUCACGUACGGUCACUGCUAUAGUGAGUCGCGUUCCUUGGGACUGGAGCGUAAACGGGUGGUAAAUUCCAUCCAAGGCUAAAUAUAGACACGAGACCGAUAGCAAACAAGUACCAUGAGGGAAAGGUGAAAAGAACUUUGAAAAGAGGGUUAAAAGUGCCUGAAAUCGUUAAGGUGGAAGCGAAUGCCUCGGUUGUAUAUGCGUUGUUAUGGAUUGGGUCUAGCGUGCCGAUUACUAUUACACGUUCUGGUUCUGCCGGCGUUUGGUAGUCUUGAGGUAUGUUUGGCUUGCUUCCAUAGUGACGUUAACAGCGUCGGCUUUAGGGUAAAGACAAAAGUUGGGAGUUAUUCUGUCACUUACGGGUUUCGGGAUAUUCUUGACCAAUCUUACCUUGGGGCUGAGGAAUCUUUGGCGUGGUAACACUAAGGUUUAAUCUGCUAAGUAGAGUGUACGUCGCUUCGGCGAAUGCAAUCUAUAAGGUUGAUGUUGCUUUAGCACUCACCCAAAGGAUGCUGUUACCAACGGUGGUAUUUGUCCCGUCUUGAAACACGG
RNAcentral lists this ribosomal RNA (766 nucleotides) under uncultured fungus. RNAcentral describes it as "eukaryotic LSU rRNA". It matches the Rfam family "Eukaryotic large subunit ribosomal RNA", at positions 24 to 664 of the family's 3401-position model. The record is from RNAcentral. Lineage: Eukaryota; Fungi.